UGGUAAAAGACAUGGUAGCAGUAGGAAUCCAGCUGAAAUCCAUGCAUCCAUUUUCUCCUCCAAUUUCCGUCUCCGUCGCAUGCAUUCAUCACGAGUCACCAUUGUUAGUGUCUAGCUUCGGAUUCGGUGAUAAUAGUGCGUCUCCUUCCCUUGCUUUCUGCUUUGAACUUCGUUCAAAGAUUGUAUGUUGGUCUUCUAGGGUUAGGGAGGUUCCUUUUUUUAGGGUUGUUAUGGCUGGAUUCCCUGGAAAGUGAGAGAGAGAGAGAGAGAGAAAGAGAGACAGAGCGAGAGAAAGGAACGUACUCGUUGGGAAACGGCUGUGAGGAACUGCUCCCACGUGAAUUCGUCUUUAGAGCUGCCAUGGUCAUAGAGGUUUCAGCUCGAAGAAAACAAAUGCCUCCUCAUCUUCUCUCUCUCUCUCUCUCGCGUUGAAACCAGCGCCACCUUUUCUUGUGCUCUCGAUUAAUCUCCUGCUCCUCCUGGACCUCCUUUCUCUCCUUCUCUCUCUCUAUCAGGCCUGUUCACGUGGUGCCAGGUCAGCCUUUUCAUGACAACGUUAGGGUUGAAACUUGGAAGGAGGGAAGAGAAGCAGGUCCUCCAAACACGUACCGAUUUCUCUUCAUCUAUUUCAGUGUGGGAGUCAUAUCAGCGUUCAUCAAGGGAUAGGAGAGAUUUCUCAACACAUCUGGUAUGAGGGAGAGCUUCAAAGGAAGUUGGGUGGUUCGAUAACUCUGCUAGAACUGUAGGGUGUGUCAGGAUGAUGAUGUGCUCAUAGGAGUUGGAGUUAUUGACGGGUCAUGUGUGGGUUUCCUGCGUCUUCCAAACAUCCUCUCUUGAGUAUUUAGUCCCAUAGUUCGGGCUUCUAAUCUCAUGGUCAUAAAGUAGAAUUAUAUUCUCUCUCAUCUUGGUGUAGGUUGCUGCCUGGGAAACUGUGCCUAUUUGUCAUCGUAUCUUAAAGCUUUUGGUGAAUGAAGCGUUCUAUUCCUAACAUAUUACUUUACUUUUGUUUCUCCUCCGUCAUUUAGUUAUGUGUAUCAAUUAUUUAGGUUAGACUUUAUGUUGUUAUAUGUGAGCUCAGAAAACAAUCCUCCACUCGACA
Musa acuminata AAA Group (dessert banana) is the source of this 1099-nucleotide long non-coding RNA. RefSeq lists it as uncharacterized. The record is from RefSeq and is a predicted model, not a curated record. NCBI's taxonomy places the organism in Eukaryota, Viridiplantae, Streptophyta, Magnoliopsida, Zingiberales, Musaceae. The transcript is spliced from 2 exons.